Molecule: non-coding RNA, 29 nt
Filed under: Homo sapiens (human)
Lineage: Eukaryota; Metazoa; Chordata; Mammalia; Primates; Hominidae
Source: RNAcentral
UCCCACAACAAAGAAGCAGUGAACUUAAA